This 233-nucleotide ribosomal RNA is filed under the name uncultured bacterium. RNAcentral describes it as "partial 16S ribosomal RNA". The record is from RNAcentral.
CUGCUGCCUCCCGUAGGAGUCUGGGCCGUGUCUCAGUCCCAAUGUGGCCGGCCAACCUCUCAGUCCGGCUACUGAUCGUCGCCUUGGUGGGCCGUUGCCCCGCCAACUAGCUAAUCAGACGCGAGCUCAUCUCAGAGCGAUAAAUCUUUGGCGUCCAGAGAGAUGCCUCCCAGACGCAUCAUGCGGUAUUAGCGGCUGUUUCCAACCGUUAUUCCCGACUCCAAGGCAGAUUG